This 368-nucleotide ribosomal RNA is filed under the name uncultured organism. RNAcentral's name for it is "bacterial SSU rRNA". It matches the Rfam family "Bacterial small subunit ribosomal RNA", at positions 526 to 896 of the family's 1533-position model. The record is from RNAcentral.
CGGAGGGUGCAAGCGUUAUCCGGAUUCACUGGGUUUAAAGGGAGCGCAGGCGGACUGGUAAGUCAGUGGUGAAAUACCUGAGCUUAACUCGGGAACUGCCAUUGAUACUAUCAGUCUUGAAUGUUGUUGAGGUUUGCGGAAUGGGUCAUGUAGCGGUGAAAUGCAUAGAUAUGACCCGGAACACCUAUUGCGAAGGCAGCAGGCUAAACAAAUAUUGACGCUGAGGCUCGAAAGCGUGGGGAUCAAACAGGAUUAGAUACCCUGGUAGUCCACGCCCUAAACGAUGAUUACUCGACAUACGCGAUACACUGUGUGUGCCUGAGCGAAAGCAUUAAGUAAUCCACCUGGGAAGUACGACCGCAAGGUUG